CUAAAACGUCCGUAGCCGGUUUGGUACAUUCGUGGGUAAAUCAACCAGCUCAACUGGUUGAAUUCUGCGAGCACUGCCAGACUUGGGACCGGGAGAGGUGUGGGGUACUCUCAGGGUAGGGGUAAAAUCCUGUCAUCCUGAGAGGACCACCUGUUGCGAAGGCGCCACACUAUAACGGAUCCGACGGUCAGGGACGAAACCUAGGGGCACGAACCGGAUUAGAUACCCGGGUAGUCCUAGGUGUAAACGCUGUGGACUUGGUGUUGGGGAUUCUCCGAGGGUCCUCAGUGCCGAAGCGAAGGUGAUAAGUCCACUGCCUGGGGAGUACGGUCGCAAGGCUGAAACUUAAAGGAA
This 354-nucleotide ribosomal RNA is filed under the name uncultured archaeon. RNAcentral's name for it is "bacterial SSU rRNA". It matches the Rfam family "Archaeal small subunit ribosomal RNA", at positions 510 to 864 of the family's 1478-position model. The record is from RNAcentral.